GAUGAACGCUGGCGGCAUGCUCAACACAUGUAAGUAGGACGGGUAGAGGUGAGUCUGGUGGCGGUUGGGAGAGUAACGCGCAAGAACCUGCCCUGGGGAGGGGAACAACAACUGGAAACGGUUGCUAAUAUCCCGUAGGCUGAGGAGCAAAAGGAGGAAUCUGCCCGAGGAGGGGCCUGCGUCUGAUCAGCUAGUUGGUGAGGUAAUAGCUUACCAAGGCGAUGAUCAGUAGCUGGUCCGAGAGGAUGAUCAGCCACACUCGGACUGAGACACGGCCCAGACUCCUACGAGAGGCAACAGUGGGAAAAUUUCCGCAAUGGGCGAAAGCCUGACGAAGCAAUGCCGCGUGGAAGUAGAAGGCCCACGGGUCGUGAACUUCUUUUCUCGGAGAAGAAACAAUGACGGUAUCUGAGGAAUAAGCAUCGGCUAACUCUGUG
RNAcentral lists this ribosomal RNA (437 nucleotides) under uncultured bacterium. RNAcentral's name for it is "partial 16S ribosomal RNA". It matches the Rfam family "Bacterial small subunit ribosomal RNA", at positions 28 to 507 of the family's 1533-position model. The record is from RNAcentral.